CACCUCUCAGGAUCACAUCUGGAUGAAUGAAUGAAUGAGUACCAGUCUUGGCUACGAGAGGAAAAGUCAAGCAGAGGCAUACCUAUUCCAUUCCUAGCUUGGGCAGUGGCUAGCAAAUGGAAGGCAAUCUGCUACAAGU
This is a small nucleolar RNA of Tachyglossus aculeatus (Australian echidna), 139 nucleotides long. The record is from RefSeq and is a predicted model, not a curated record. NCBI's taxonomy places the organism in Eukaryota, Metazoa, Chordata, Mammalia, Monotremata, Tachyglossidae.